RNAcentral lists this ribosomal RNA (2894 nucleotides) under Stenotrophomonas maltophilia. RNAcentral's name for it is "bacterial LSU rRNA". It matches the Rfam family "Bacterial large subunit ribosomal RNA". Lineage: Bacteria; Pseudomonadati; Pseudomonadota; Gammaproteobacteria; Lysobacterales; Lysobacteraceae. The record is from RNAcentral.
GUUAUAUGGUCAAGCGAAUAAGCGCACACGGUGGAUGCCUUGGCGGUCAGAGGCGAUGAAGGACGUGGCAGCCUGCGAAAAGUAUCGGGGAGCUGGCAACAAGCUUUGAUCCGGUAAUGUCCGAAUGGGGAAACCCACCCGCUUGCGGGUAUCCUGCAGUGAAUACAUAGCUGCUGGAAGCGAACCUGGUGAACUGAAAUAUCUAAGUAACCAGAGGAAAAGAAAUCAACCGAGAUUCCGUAAGUAGCGACGAGCGAACGCGGACUAGCCCUUAAGCUGAUUUGGUUCUAGGAAAACGCUCUGGAAAGAGCGGCCAUAGAAGGUGAUAGCCCUGUAUCUGAAAGGGCCAUUUCAGUGAAGACGAGUAGGGCGGGGCACGUGAAACCCUGUCUGAACAUGGGGGGACCAUCCUCCAAGGCUAAAUACUACUGACCGACCGAUAGUGAACCAGUACCGUGAGGGAAAGGCGAAAAGAACCCCGGAGAGGGGAGUGAAAUAGAACCUGAAACCGUGUGCGUACAAGCAGUAGGAGCUCCGCAAGGAGUGACUGCGUACCUUUUGUAUAAUGGGUCAGCGACUUACUGUUCGUGGCAAGCUUAACCGUAUAGGGGAGGCGAAGGGAAACCGAGUCUGAUAAGGGCGCAUAGUCGCGGGCAGUAGACCCGAAACCGGGUGAUCUAGUCAUGCCCAGGGUGAAGGUGCGGUAACACGCACUGGAGGCCCGAACCCACUCCCGUUGCAAAGGUAGGGGAUGAGGUGUGAUUAGGAGUGAAAAGCUAAUCGAACCCGGAGAUAGCUGGUUCUCCUCGAAAGCUAUUUAGGUAGCGCCUCAUAUGUAUCCUCUCGGGGGUAGAGCACUGUUAUGGCUAGGGGGUCAUCGCGACUUACCAAACCAUUGCAAACUCCGAAUACCGAGACGGACUGUAUGGGAGACACACGGCGGGUGCUAACGUCCGUCGUGAAAAGGGAAACAACCCAGACCCACAGCUAAGGUCCCAAAUUCACUGCUAAGUGGAAAACCAUGUGGAAAGGCACAGACAGCCAGGAGGUUGGCUUAGAAGCAGCCACCCUUUAAAGAAAGCGUAAUAGCUCACUGGUCGAGUCGGUCUGCGGGGAAGAUUUAACGGGGCUAAGCAGUGAACCGAAGCUUGGGGUGCAUAACUUUGUUAUGCGCGGUAGAGGAGCGUUCCGUAAGCCGUUGAAGGUGGAUUGAGAAGUCUGCUGGAGGUAUCGGAAGUGCGAAUGCUGACAUGAGUAACGAUAAUGCGGGUGAAAAACCCGCACGCCGAAAGCCCAAGGUUUCCUUGCGCAACGUUAAUCGGCGCAGGGUGAGUCGGCCCCUAAGGCGAGGACGAAAGUCGUAGUCGAUGGGAAGCAGGUUAAUAUUCCUGCACCUCGCGUAAGUGCGAUGGAGGGACGGAGAAGGUUAGGUGUACCAGGCGUUGGUUGUCCUGGGGAAAGGCGGUAGGUUUGGAUCUUUGGCAAAUCCGGGAUCCUUUAAGACCGAGCACCGAGACGAGCCUUUAUGGCAAAGUCACUGAUACCACGCUUCCAGGAAAAGCUCCUAAGCUUCAGCUUACGCAGACCGUACCGUAAACCGACACAGGUGGGUAGGAUGAGAAUUCUCAGGCGCUUGAGAGAACUCGGGUGAAGGAACUAGGCAACAUGGCACCGUAACUUCGGGAGAAGGUGCACCCUUUUUGGUGGCUCGUGCGAGCUAUAGCUGAAGAGGGUCGCAGUAACCAGGCCGCUGCGACUGUUUAUCAAAAACACAGCACUCUGCAAACACGAAAGUGGACGUAUAGGGUGUGACGCCUGCCCGGUGCUGGAAGGUUAAUUGAUGGGGUCAGCCGCAAGGCGAAGCUCUUGAUCGAAGCCCCAGUAAACGGCGGCCGUAACUAUAACGGUCCUAAGGUAGCGAAAUUCCUUGUCGGGUAAGUUCCGACCUGCACGAAUGGCGUAACGACAGCGGCGCUGUCUCCACCCGAGACUCAGUGAAAUUGAAAUCGCUGUGAAGAUGCAGCGUUCCCGUGGCAAGACGGAAAGACCCCGUGAACCUUUACUAUAGCUUUACACUGAACGUUGAGUUCGUCUGUGUAGGAUAGGUGGGAGGCUAUGAAACUGUGGCGCUAGCUGCAGUGGAGCCAUCCUUGAAAUACCACCCUGUCGUGCUUGACGUUCUAACCUGGGCCCAUUAUCUGGGUCGGGGACCGUGUAUGGUGGGUAGUUUGACUGGGGCGGUCUCCUCCUAAAGAGUAACGGAGGAGCUCGAAGGUACGCUCAGCGCGGUCGGACAUCGCGCACUGUGUGCAAAGGCAUAAGCGUGCUUGACUGCAAGAUCGACGGAUCAAGCAGGUAGGAAACUAGGACUUAGUGAUCCGGUGGUUCUGUAUGGAAGGGCCAUCGCUCAACGGAUAAAAGGUACUCCGGGGAUAACAGGCUGAUACCGCCCAAGAGUUCAUAUCGACGGCGGUGUUUGGCACCUCGAUGUCGGCUCAUCACAUCCUGGGGCUGUAGUCGGUCCCAAGGGUAUGGCUGUUCGCCAUUUAAAGUGGUACGCGAGCUGGGUUCAGAACGUCGUGAGACAGUUCGGUCCCUAUCUGCCAUGGGCGUUGGAGAUUUGAGAGGGGCUGCUCCUAGUACGAGAGGACCGGAGUGGACGAACCUCUGGUGUUCCGGUUGUCACGCCAGUGGCAUUGCCGGGUAGCUAUGUUCGGAAGCGAUAACCGCUGAAAGCAUCUAAGCGGGAAGCGCGCCUCAAGAUGAGAUCUCCCGGGGCACAAGCCCCCUGAAGGAACCAUGUAGACUACGUGGUUGAUAGGUCAGGUGUGUAAGUACAGCAAUGUAUUGAGCUAACUGAUACUAAUGAUCCGAGAGGCUUGACCAUAUAACCU